This 440-nucleotide ribosomal RNA is filed under the name uncultured bacterium. RNAcentral's name for it is "partial 16S ribosomal RNA". It matches the Rfam family "Bacterial small subunit ribosomal RNA", at positions 338 to 795 of the family's 1533-position model. The record is from RNAcentral.
CCUACGGGAGGCUGCAGUGGGGAAUAUUGCACAAUGGGGGAAACCCUGAUGCAGCAACGCCGCGUGAAGGAAGACGGUUUUCGGAUUGUAAACUUCUGUUCUUAGUGAAGAAUAAUGACGGUAGCUAAGGAGCAAGCCACGGCUAACUACGUGCCAGCAGCCGCGGUAAUACGUAGGUGGCAAGCGUUGUCCGGAAUUACUGGGUGUAAAGGGAGCGCAGGCGGGGAAGCAAGUUGGGUGGCAAAACUACCGGCUCAACUGGUAGUCGCACCCAAAACUGCAGCUCUUGAGUGAAGUAGGGGCAGGCGGAAUUCCUAGUGUAGCGGUGAAAUGCGUAGAUAUUAGGAGGAACACCAGUGGCGAAGGCGGCCUGCUGGGCUUUUACUGACGCUGAGGCUCGAAAGUGUGGGGAGCAAACAGGAUUAGAUACCCGGGUAAUC